AGCUUCAAGGAAUGCAAAAGAUGGUCCAUGGGAAUUUGGAUUUGAAGUGAAGUUCUAUCCACCAGAUCCUUCUCAAUUGCAAGAAGAUAUAACUAGGUAUCAGUUAUGCUUGCAAAUUUGCAAUGAUGUUCUUUCAGAAA
Stegodyphus dumicola is the source of this 140-nucleotide long non-coding RNA. The record is from RefSeq and is a predicted model, not a curated record. NCBI's taxonomy places the organism in Eukaryota, Metazoa, Arthropoda, Arachnida, Araneae, Eresidae.